This 107-nucleotide small nuclear RNA is filed under the name Salvator merianae (Argentine black and white tegu). The record is from RNAcentral. Lineage: Eukaryota; Metazoa; Chordata; Lepidosauria; Squamata; Teiidae.
GUGCUCGCUUCGACAACACAUAUACUAAGAUUGGAAUGAUACAGAGAAGAUUCACAUGACCCCUGUGAAAGGAUGAGAUGCAAAUUCAUGGGGGAAAAAAUGAGUGG